This 1058-nucleotide long non-coding RNA is filed under the name Olea europaea (common olive). RNAcentral describes it as "long non-coding RNA (OEUR_LNC007657)". The record is from RNAcentral. Lineage: Eukaryota; Viridiplantae; Streptophyta; Magnoliopsida; Lamiales; Oleaceae.
CUCCACCUGAAAUUGGGAACCCUAGAAUCACGCCUCCUUCAACCUCCGACUGGUGCCACCGUCCUUCUCAACCUCCAACCGACGAUUUUAAAUGUGGCCAGAUUUGCAAUCACCGAAAGCACAGUGAAAUCGGGUCCUUCAUCUUCACCACCGUCCACAAACGUCGCAUUCUUGGUCGACUCAGUCCACAACAGCUAGGUAUCUUCACCUUCGUCCACGAACGCCAACUGAUUUCCACCGUCGACAAUAAACUCAGUCCACAGCAACAAUAUUCUCUGUGAAACGUUGUGAAAAAGGAAGUUUAAAAAAUUGUGAAAAAUGGUGAAAAAGGUUUUGAAGAACGAUUUGAAGCUUGUUCAGUAUGCAAUUGUUGUGAGAAACAAACAAAUUCCCUAUUCUCUGUAAAUUGUGAAACUUGUGAAAAACGUUUUGAAGUUUGUUCAAUAUGUAAUUGCUGUGAGAAACUAGUGUAAUUCCCUUCUCUCUGUAAAUUGUUGGGAGAAACAAGUGUAAUCUUCUUGCUGUAUUUUAUUAUUUUUUUGCUGUAUCUCUCAAAUUGUGGAGUCCAGUCAACCAUUUUAACACUUGUAAAUGGAUACUACAAUUUUGGGAGUCCAGUAAACUAUUUUGACACUAGUAAAUGGAUACUACAAUUUUGGUUGCUAUUAGUUUUCUGUUGCUUAAAUUGCGUAAAUGGAUACUACAAUUUUAUUUUUAUUUUUUUGACUGGGGAUGCCUAUACAUUGUGCUCCAAAGUUGCAAAAGAAAAAUCGAAGAAAAAAGCUAGAGAAGAAAGCGGACUCGGCAAUUUCCAUACGUGGGUAAGACAACUCUUGAGUGGACUGGAGAAGAGAGUGAAGCUACUCGUUUGGAAAAGGGAAUCAGCUCCUCCAGGAGAGUGGUUGGAGAAGAGAAUGCCGAUCGGUCAAAUAGCCAAUGCUCAGCUCUGGUGCUCGUGAGGUUGGAGAUGAAGUGGAGUAGCUAAUUUCCCCACUUCAAUUUUCAAUUUUAUGGCAUCCAGUUUUGGGGAUAAUGAAGUCGGCUUUGGCGGGUUAUGA